AUUAAUAAGCGGAGGAAAAGAAACUAACAAGGAUUCCCUUAGUAACGGCGAGUGAAGCGGGAAGAAGCCCAGCACCGAAUCCCACGCCAUACAGGCGGCGGGAACUGUGGUGUUAAGGACGACCUCUCGCGGAGCGUCCGGACGUCCGAGUCCUCCUGAUUGGGGCUUCGCCCAGAGCGGGUGUCAGGCCUCUACGACGUCUGGACGUUUCGCUUCGGGAGUCCUAGGAGUCGGGUUGUUUGAGAAUGCAGCCCAAAGCGGGUGGUAAACUCCAUCUAAGGCUAAAUACGGGCACGAGUCCGAUAGCGAACAAGUACCGUGAGGGAAAGUU
This 331-nucleotide ribosomal RNA is filed under the name Eclipidrilus frigidus. Its description in RNAcentral is "eukaryotic LSU rRNA". It matches the Rfam family "Eukaryotic large subunit ribosomal RNA", at positions 42 to 365 of the family's 3401-position model. Lineage: Eukaryota; Metazoa; Annelida; Clitellata; Lumbriculida; Lumbriculidae. The record is from RNAcentral.